This 460-nucleotide ribosomal RNA is filed under the name uncultured bacterium. RNAcentral's name for it is "partial 16S ribosomal RNA". It matches the Rfam family "Bacterial small subunit ribosomal RNA", at positions 338 to 795 of the family's 1533-position model. The record is from RNAcentral.
CCUACGGGAGGCUGCAGUGAGGAAUAUUGGUCAAUGGGCGAGAGCCUGAACCAGCCAAGUAGCGUGAAGGAUGACUGCCCUACGGGUUGUAAACUUCUUUUAUAAAGGAAUAAAGUGAGGUACGUGUGCCUUUUUGUAUGUACUAUAUGAAUCAGGCUCGGCUAACUACGUGCCAGCAGCCGCGGUAAUACGGAGGAUCCGAGCGUUAUCCGGAUUUAUUGGGUUGAAAGGGAGCGUAGAUGGGUUGGUAAGUCAGUUGUGAAAGUUUGCGGCUCAACCGUAAAAUUGCAAUUGAUACUGGCAGCCGUGAGUGCAGCAGAGGUAAGCGGAAUUCGUGGUGGAGCGGUGAAAUGCUUAGAUAUCACGAAGAACUCCGAUGGCGAAGGCAGCCUACUGGACUGUAACUGACGUUGAUGCUCGAAAGUGUGGGUAUCAAACAGGAUUAGAUACCCUUGUAGUC